RNAcentral lists this small RNA (134 nucleotides) under Sinorhizobium meliloti 2011. Its description in RNAcentral is "putative ncRNA". The record is from RNAcentral. Lineage: Bacteria; Pseudomonadati; Pseudomonadota; Alphaproteobacteria; Hyphomicrobiales; Rhizobiaceae.
AUACUUGCGAAAGUCGCAAGCGCCGCCGCGCUUUUCGCGGCGACGUUGUCGGCUCCAGGUGAUCGAAAAGGUGGAAUUCUCGAAGGAAAGCCGGCUGCACCCGUCCGUGCACCGGAAAUCAGCCCUUCAGUGGC